RNAcentral lists this ribosomal RNA (452 nucleotides) under uncultured bacterium. RNAcentral describes it as "bacterial SSU rRNA". It matches the Rfam family "Bacterial small subunit ribosomal RNA", at positions 30 to 524 of the family's 1533-position model. The record is from RNAcentral.
AUUGAACGCUGGCGGCAUGCCUUACACAUGCAAGUCGAACGCCCUAGCAAUAGGGAGUGGCAGACGGGUGAGUAACACGUGGGAACCUUCCCUAUAGUAUGGAAUAGCCCAGGGAAACUUGGAGUAAUACCGUAUACGCCCGAGAGGGGAAAGAUUUAUCGCUAUAGGAUGGGCCCGCGUAGGAUUAGCUAGUUGGUGAGGUAAUGGCUCACCAAGGCGACGAUCCUUAGCUGGUCUGAGAGGACGACCAGCCACACUGGGACUGAGACACGGCCCAGACUCCUACGGGAGGCAGCAGUGGGGAAUAUUGGACAAUGGGCGCAAGCCUGAUCCAGCCAUGCCGCGUGAGUGAUGAAGGCCUUAGGGUUGUAAAGCUCUUUUUGUGGGGGAAAAGAAUGGAUGGUACCCCAAGAAUAAGUCACGGCUAACUACGUGCCAGCAGCCGCGGUAAU